GACAAUACGCCCCACUUUAAUUCAAUAUCAAAUAUGUCAAAAGUCUUUUUACAAUUGAAUGAAAACUCCUAUUUAUACUAUACCUAAAAACUAGGUAAAAAUCGUGCAAAAGUCGAGCAUAAUCCCCAAAAUAUGGAAAAAAAAUCAAAAACUAACAAAAUAUGGAAAAAUACCAAAAUUAGAAAAUUUGUCAAAAAUUUGGCCUAUGCAACCGCAACGUUCAUUUCUAUGCGGUCGCAUAGUUCAAGCAAGUUUCCUCAUUUGAGUUUCGGUAAGUCUCCAUGCGACCACGAGCCACUUUGGUCUAUGCGAUCGCAUAGGCUUGGAACUUCCCUUUGAUUUCGGCCUUCGUUAUUAAAUUGAUCCAAGUUGAUUCGACCUUCGACCGAACAUAAAAGUUGCUCCAUUUUGAAUCCCGAACAUGGUUCCAUCAAUGGUUUCUUGAACGAGUAAUCCCAUCGCUUAUUUCACUUGCUUUGCCCUUGAUCGCGUCAUCGGUCCGCCAUCAACUAUCAUCGGGUCUCAUCUCACACUUACCUUCGUCGGGUUCGACUCCUGGGUCAUAUCAUAAAGCCA
RNAcentral lists this long non-coding RNA (576 nucleotides) under Olea europaea (common olive). RNAcentral's name for it is "long non-coding RNA (OEUR_LNC013483)". The record is from RNAcentral. Lineage: Eukaryota; Viridiplantae; Streptophyta; Magnoliopsida; Lamiales; Oleaceae.